This 466-nucleotide ribosomal RNA is filed under the name uncultured bacterium. Its description in RNAcentral is "bacterial SSU rRNA". It matches the Rfam family "Bacterial small subunit ribosomal RNA", at positions 32 to 507 of the family's 1533-position model. The record is from RNAcentral.
AAUCAACGCUGGCGGCGUGCCUAACACAUGCAAGUCGAACGGGAAAGCACUUUUCGGAGUGCGAGUAGAGUGGCGAACGGGUGAGUAACGCGUGGGUGAUCUGCCCUUUGGUGGGGGAUAACCCGGGGAAACCCGGGCUAAUACCGCAUGAGCCUGCAUUUGUGAGCGUGUGCAGGGAAAGUUUUUGGAUGCCGAAGGAGGAGCCCGCGUCCGAUUAGCUAGUUGGUGAGGUAAGAGCUCACCAAGGCGACGAUCGGUAGCCGGUCUGAGAGGACGGACAGUCACACUGGGACUGAGACACGGCCCAGACUCCUACGGGAGGCAGCAGUGGGGAAUUUUGGGCAAUGGGCGAAAGCCUGACCCAGCAACGCCGCGUGGAGGAUGAAGGUUUUCGAAUCGUAAACUCCUGUCUAGAGGGACGAAGUAAGUGACGGUACCUCUGGAGGAAGCCCCGGCUAACUCCGUG